AGGAAGCACACUUAGGUCAUAGAUUAAGCCAUGCAAGUGUUAGUUCAGGCAACGAAACUGCGAACAGCUCAUUAAUACGCUCAGAAUCUAAUUGGCAGCGACCCAGAUGAGCGAGGGGUCUUAGAUUAGGCUAGCAGCAGUAAUUCUGGUGCUAAUACAUGCGAUUGUUUCAUCGGAAGUGAAUUACGGUGGAAAAGUUGACCGAAAGGCAUGCCAUUCGAUUGAGCGACCUAUCAGCUUGUACUUAGGGUCUUGGCCUAGGUAGGCUAUCACGGGUAACGGGCGGUUACCGUCGGACUGCCGGAGAAGGCGCCUGAGAGAUAGCGACUAUAUCUACGGAUAGCAGCAGGCGCGAAACUUACCCACUCGAGACAUUCGGAGGUGGUAAUGACCAGUUUCAAGACAGCUCCAUACGGGGUUGCUUGAAUAGGACCACAUUUUUCCAGUGUGGUGAAACCUAGCAGAGGGCCAGUCUGGUGCCAGCAGCUGCGGUAAUUCCAGCUCUGCGAGUUUGCUCCCAUAAUGUUGCAGUUAAAACGCCCGUAGUCUGAAAUUUGAAAAUAAGCGGUCACAAACCGCGUUCACUGCGAACAAAUCAGGACGCUUAGUGUAAGGCCUGCUUGUAUGACUGAGCGCAGUAUGAUAAUUUUACCUAAGGGUAAGAUCAAAGAGAGCCACUGGGGGUAGAUCUAUUUCAUGGCGAGCGGUGGAAUGUUAUGACCCAUGAGAGAGGAACUAAGGCGAAAGCAUCUACCUAGGGGGUUUCUGUCGAUCAAGGGCGAGAGUAGGAGUAUCCAACCGGAUUAGAGACCCGGGUAGUUCCUACUGUAAACGAUGCCGACUGGGGCUUAUCCAUUUGUAUGGGUAGGAUCCGACGAGAAAUCAUAGUUUUUGGGCUCUGGGGGAACUACGACCGCAAGGCUGAAACUUGAAGGAAUUGACGGAAGGGCACACCAGGGGUGGAGCUUGUGGCUUAAUUUGAAUCAACACGGGGAAACUUACUAGGGCCAGAUGUUUUAUAAGACUGACAGGCUACGGGUCUUUCAGGAUUUAACUAUUGGUGGUGCAUGGCCGUUGGUGGUGCGUGGGUUGACCUGUCUAGCGUUGAUUCAGAUAACGAGCGAGACUAUCACCAAUUAAUGUCGAUUGACUCGAAAGAGUGUAAUUGUUCUAAUUGGGACUCCUUGCGUCUAAGCAGGGGGAAGAGGGUAGCAAUAACAGGUCCGUGAUGUCCUUUAGAUGCCCUGGGCUGCACGCGCGCUACAAUGUGAGGGUCAAAGAGUUACGAUCCUCGAUAGGGUGAGAUAAUCUCAUAAUACCUCACGUACCUGGGAUUGACGGUUGUAAUGACUGUCAUGAACUAGGAAUCCCUUGUAAGCGUGUGUCAACAACGCACGCUGAAUACGUCCCUGCCCUUUGUACACACCGCCCGUCGCUCCUACUGAUGGAUGAUUCGGCAAAAUCACUGGAGAAUCCCAGUCAAAGGUGAUUGAACCAUACUAUCUAGAGGAAGGAGAAGUCGUAACAAGGUAACG
This 1535-nucleotide ribosomal RNA is filed under the name Snyderella tabogae. RNAcentral's name for it is "SSU rRNA". It matches the Rfam family "Eukaryotic small subunit ribosomal RNA". Lineage: Eukaryota; Parabasalia; Cristamonadida. The record is from RNAcentral.